RNAcentral lists this unclassified non-coding RNA (268 nucleotides) under soil metagenome. Its description in RNAcentral is "partial internal transcribed spacer 1". The record is from RNAcentral.
CCAAUUUUUAUUAUUAGUUUGCAUGGUCGCUGUAAAAGGCGGGUUAAUGCACAACUACUAAUGUAAACGUUGAACUAGAUCGUUGGUGUGGAUUGCUUGGGAAUGGGAGAAGCGACAAGCCUCUCCGGACAGGCAAACCCCACGCCGAUAACCUUUUUUCAUACAAACUACCAAUAUAUACUACAAACAAACAAACAAAUAAAGCUAUAAUAGGACUUAUAUACAAGCUGAGUGGGUAAAAGCCUCAGCUUCAAAUUAAUAACUAUUA